UUGUAAACUGGAGUUGGUGGUGAUGGUGAUUUGUAGACUGAGUGUGUAGAGAGUAGUAUGACUCCUUAGGUGGUGGUGGUGAAUUGUAAAUGGGAGUUGGUGGUGGCAGAGACUUAUAAACUGGUGCGGGAUUGAUAUAGCUCCUUGGGUGUGGAGGCGAUAUGUAGACUAGGGUUGGUGGAGGUGGUGACUUGUUGACUGGGUGUGUGGAGGGUAGUAAGGCUCCUUAGUAGUGGUGGCGACUUGUAAACUGUAGUCGGUAGAGGCGGUGACUUGUAGAUUGGGGUAUGAGGAGGGUAGUAUGGCUCCUUAAGUGGUUGUGGUGACUUGUAAACUGGAGUCGGCGAAGGUGGCGACUUAUAGACUGGGUGUUUGGAGGGUAGUAAGGCUCUUUGGGUGGGGGUGGCAACGUAUAAACUUGAGUUAGUGGAAGUGGUGAUUUGUAGACUGGGUGUGUGGGGGAUAGUAUGGCUCCUUAGGUAGUAGUGGUGAUUGGUAAAUAGGAGCCGGUGGAAAUGGCGACUUAUAGACUGGGUGUGUGGAGGGUAGUAAGGCUCUUUUGGUGGGGGUGACGACUUGUAAACUGGAGUUGAUGGAGGUGGCAAUUUGUAGACUGGGGUGUGUGGAGGAUAGUAUGGCUCCUUGGGUGGUGAUGGUGGUGACUAGUAAAGCGGAGUUGAAGGUGAUGGUGAUUUAUAAAGUGGUGCAGGAUGAUAAGGUGUUGGUGAAGGAUGGUAUGGCUCUUUUGGUGAUGGUGGAGAUAAAUAUUGAUAAUUUGCUGAGCUUUGGGAAGCCAAGCAAAGUGACACAAAAACCACUAAAAGAGUGGAAAAUAGAGAGGCCAUUUCUCCCAAAAAGAAACAAAGGAGAGAAGUUGUUGUCCCUUUAAGCUGCACUCAAAGCCCUUUGUAUAGCUUUCAUUUAGAAGGUAUAAGGCUAAAGUUAUGUAUUUUUAAUUAGUUUUGUCAUGUUGUCGGUUCAAUUUGACCUUUGUUGGUAUACUUUUUUUUUUUUGUUGGAUAGAAGGUGCAAGCUAAGCAAAGAAAUUAACUACUAUGGCAGCUAUACUAUUUAUGAUGCAAUAAUUCAAAAAAAAAUACGUGGAUCCCACAACUUCCCACAAGAUUUUAGUUAUAGGAAUCUGAGCACUUUUUUUUUACACUUAGGGUGUGUAUGGUACGAUGGAAAAUAUUUUCUGAAAAAUGUUGGUUGUAGUAAAAAAUAUUUUCUAAGAUAAUUCAUUUUUUCCUAUUUGAGGGAAAAUGACUUCCCUCAUGGACCAAGGGAAGUUAUUUUUCGGAAAAUGAUAAAUGUGACUUAUGCCCCCAUCCUCACCCCUCUUCCCACCCCAACAACACUCAUAUUCACAUAACUCAAAAAAUUCACAUUUUUAAAAAAUUUAUUUUACUCAAAAUAUUUUUCACUGUGCUUUGCUUCAAUUUUUCACUGCUUGAAAUAAAAAAUAGUGAAGCCCGACUUUUUUUCAUUUCCAAUGUUCGUUGAAUGUAUUGUUAUUUUCAUAUGCAUAGAGGAAGACUUACCUAUGUUACUUUUGCUAAUUGCAUAUUUUAUUUUGUCAUCGAUGUUACUUCUUUCACGAGGUUGAAUAAGCUUAUCGUCCCGUUAUAUUUCUAUUGAUUGUAGUAUCUUGAGAUUGUCCUGAAAAAAUGUUGAAAAGUGUCUCCUAUAUUUGCUAAUUAAUAGUUGCUUAAAUUUAGUGAUUGUAAUAUUUUAGUAUUCGAUAUUGAUAUUAUUUAUUAUGCUUAAAUUAGUUCUUACAAAUUGUUGAGUUGCUAGAUGCACUGAUAUACUAGUUAACAGUUAGUAGUAUUUUCUAAAAAAAAAAAUUUCACUCACCAAUCAAACACUAGAAAAUAUUUUUCUAAAAAAUAUUUUCUACUCACCAACCAAACACCAUAAAAUAUUUUUCGAAAAUAUUUUUCACUCACCAACCAAACAUGAGAAAAUAAAUAGAAAACCAACUUAUUUUCCAAGAAAACAUUUUUCAUGAAAAAUAUUUUCCAUCGUACCAAACACACCCUUAGUAUUUGAAGAAUUCAAUUCUUGUGGAUUCUGACAGCUUAACUAACCUUCACUUAAGUGCUGAGAAAUUUAAAACAAUAUGUAUACAGUAUCAUAUAUUCUUUAAAAGAAAUGAUAUGUCAUUGUUAAAAGAGUUUAAUCUAGAGAAAACUGUGCAUGUGACUCGCUUUCAUUACCAACUAAAUCAAUUAUGUUCUUUCCUUUUGUGUAGUAGAGCUAAAAGAAACAUCAACCGAUUAUUUUGUAGCUCAAUGUUGAAAACUUAUGUGGUUCAAUAUGAUAUCUCUGAAAAUUUUACAGCUUGUUUGAUAGCUGCUGCCUAAUAAUGUAUUGUAUCGUGUUGCUAGUUUAAAUAUAAUGUGUAUUUUGAUUGUUUCUUAAAUUUUACUGUAUCAUUAAAUCUAUAACUAGAUAGCAAUAAAAAGUCUCAUUUGGUGUAACGACCUAUUUGAUGUGAUCGCGUUGUUACCUUUUUUCCCCUUUUUAUUUAUUAUUUAAUUAUCUUAAUGCUCCUUUAUCCUAUAUUUUUAUAGUAACUCUACCUCACAUUUUUCUAUUUUCCUUCUAGGCUUAUCCUUGAACUGUUAUAUGAAGGAUGCAAUGUAAUGACGAAAAAGGUAUAAUAAAUCCAAAUAUCGUAACAUUCACUAAAAUAAUAAAGUACAUACAAUACAACAUGAUACUUUAUGAAACAAUAUCAUUCCAAGUUAAGGACUUGAUUAGAAUGUGCAUGUUAAGUGUCUGAUGGGUUACUUAAGUAUAAAGUUCAAGUCCAUAUAAAAAGAUAAACCCUAAUUAUAAUGCCUUCAUCAUGGCUGGUCGACAGUAGUCUACUACUGAAUUUCCUCCUUUGAACCCAAAUUCUAUUGUGAAUAUCCAAACCCUACCGUUGGAUAAAUCUUUUGUUGAAUCAAUCAGUACAACAAAGUUGGACACCGUCUCUCGCAAAGAGGUGGUCAUGGUGGAAGGAAUCCCGAAUGUCACACUGAAAAAAGUGGAUACAGUGAAUAAAAUGGAGAAUUUGCAAUUUGUUGUCAUAGGUAAAUUCACUUAAGAAUGGACGGGUAUAGAAGAAUUAAGGAAUAUUAUCCCACAGCAAUGCAACAUUAAUGGUGAUUGUCAAAUUGGAGUAUUCAGAAAUAAACAUAUUUUCAUUCGUUAGACACAGGAGUCGGAUUUUAUUAAUAUCAUCAUCUCAAAGGGAGCUUUUUCCUUGCACUGUAAGGAUGGGUUCUCUUAUUUGAUGCGAACACUCUCACACUUAUCUAUGAUCCCCUUUUCAAAGAAACUUUAGAGACUACAAAGACUUUCGCAUGGAUUUCUUUCCCAAAUCUAUUGCCUACCUAUUAUGUCAAGGAAUGUUUGUUUUCUUUAGCUGCAACAGUGGGAAAGCCUGUCCAACUUGAUCUAGCCACCAUUAAUAGGACUAGACCAAGUUGUGCAAGGAUUAAGGUCUUGGUUGAUCUAAAAGCUGAUUUCUCUAAAUCAGUCCGGAUGGAUAUUGAAAAUGAAGAGUCAGGUAAAUGCAGGACAAUAGUGAAGCGGAUUAAAUUCGACCAUAUUCCUAAGUAUUGUCAUGAAUGCAAUAUGCAAGUUCAUGCUAAGAAUCAAUGUAGAAACUUAGGCACCCCAGAGGAUGCAACAAUGGCAGUAACAGUGGAUAAUAAGGAAUAAAAGAGGCCAGUACAACAUCUUCCUAAAUUCACAAUGCCUUUUGUACACAAAUUUCAAAACGGAAAAGCAUGAGUUCUUUCGAGUGGGAUUGUAGUUGGAGAUCCUACUAACUGGAUGGUUAUUAAAAAUGAUAAGAGGAUAGUUAAUACUUCCCAACAGCCUCUUUUAAUGAUAUAGUUAAUACUUCCCAACAGCCUCUUUCAAUGACAAAUAACCAAUUUGCUGCUCUAGCUACCGACGACAAAGAACCUGCUGAAUUAAACAUUUCGACAAAGGAGAGUUCAAACCUUAAGGCAUGUACGGAUGUGUUCCAAAUAAUAAGGAAAAUGAAAAAGUUAAUCUGUGGUCCAAUAAAGAAUCUGCUAAAGAGUGGGUAUCAAGGGAUUUUGGCAAGCUAGGUGAAGUUCCCAAUUCUGUAAUACCUGUACAGCAACAAGGCAGUCAGCAACUAAGUAAUCAACAACAAAGGCAAGAUAGAGAUAAUAAUGCUAAAGAGAAUAAUAAAGAUGGUAAUGGGAUGGAGAAUGAUAUGCAGGUUAAAUCUUUAAUAAAUCAGGAGCAUAAUAUUGAUGAUGGUCAGCAACAAUGCCUCAUAGUCAAAAAGGACAAUCUGCAAUCUAUAGAAGAUGUGCAACCAGAUACCAAGCAAUAGUCAAUGCAGAUUAAUCAAGAUUUUUACAGUGGAAGCUAUGAUAAUGGAGAUAGGUCAGUUGAGGAAAGUGUGGGGAUAACAGUUGUGAUGCAAGGGGAACAAAAUGUGUGUUUAGAAAUAAUGGAGAUUCCAAAACCAGUGCAGAUAGAUGAAUCAUUUAUCGUUACCAAGAGUUCUCCCAACAAAGUAAUACAUGACAUUGUCUCUCAUAGUUUAGGGUACAUUAAAUGCAGUAAUCAAACUCACAUGGCCAAAGGAGUUAAAGAAGUAGAUGUAGAAGAUGAUUCGAAGGAUCAUGCUCCAUCGGAAGCUGAUUUAUCACCAAGACUGAUGAAAAUCUCUAAAAAAGGAUAAAAAAGAAUGUGGAUGGGAGAAAACUCACAACCUACCAGAGUUCAUCCUAAGCGAUCCAAAUCUGCCCUAAAUUAUCAAUGAAAGCACUUAUUUGGAACAUUAGGUCUGUGAAGACACAACAAGAUUUCAAAGACUUCAGAUGCUUAAUAAUUAUCAUAAGUUCACCGGUUUCAGUUUGUUAGAGCCUUUUCAGAAUGUUAGAUAUAAGAGAAGAUUGAAAAUGCAUAGGGCUAUGUCAAACUGCAAUAGCAAGAUUUGGUUUUUCUCCUCUCAAGAUGUGAUAACAACUGUUAUUAAAGACACUGAUCAUCAGCUACAGUUCACUUGCAGGAGUAGGCUCAGAGCUUAGAUUUAUUACUCUUGUUUAUGCAAAGUGUUCUAAAGAGGAGAGAUUAAUCUUAUGGAAGGAUAUUUAUCAAGUUGCUUCUGGAAUUUCAAAACCUUGGAUGCUAGGAGGAGAUUUAAUGUUGUUUUGAAUUCUGAAGAGAAAAUUGGUGGCCUUCCAAUUCUUGAUGCAGGCCAUGGGGACUUUCAAUCAUGUAUUUCUUAUUGUGAUUUGAUGGAGAUACCUUUUAAAGAAAGUUCUUUCACUUGGUGGAAUGGUAGAGCAGGUAAUGACUGUAUUUUAGAAAGAUUGGAUAGAAUUUUUACUAAUCAACAACAACAACAACAACAACAACAACAACAACAAACCCAGUGUAUUCCCACCUAGUGGGGUCUGGGGGGGUAAGAUGUACGCAGUCCAUACCUCUACCUCUGCUGAAUUUUUACUAAUCAAGAUUUACAAAAUAAGUUCAAUCACAUGAAGGUAGAACAUCUUGCUACUAGUUCAGAUCAUGCUCCCAUGUUGUUGUAUUGUUAUGACAGAGCUAUCAGUUACAAGAAAUCUUUUAGAUUUCUUAAGUUUUGGACUGAUCAUCCUAAGUUCCUAGAAGUAGUAAGGCAGAAUUGGUGUUCUUCAGGUUCUCAGAGUCCAUUCUUAGAUUUCAAAGCAAAGAUUAAGAGAAUUAAAGUUGCUUUGACAAGAUGGAGUAAAGAGACUUCUGGGGAUAUUUUUAAAUAGUUGAUAAUCAGGGAAGAAAUUGUCAAGAUCAAAGAGAAAUUAUUUGAGGAAUGCCCUACGGCUGAUAACAGCGAAGUGUUGCAAAGAGCUCAGUCCGAGCACAAAAUAUAUCUUCGUUUUGAAGAGAUUUUUUGGCAGCAAAAAGCAGGUUAUGACUGGUUUGAGAAUGGUGACAGAAAUAUUAAAUUUUUUCAUAGCACUGUGAAGGGGAGGAGGAAAAGAUUGAAUUUGAAUAGAAUUCAAAUUAAUCAGGGUAUUUGGCUGGAUAAAGAAGAAAAGAUAGCCGCAGAGGUUGUUAUGUUUUAUCAGGACCAAUUUAGACAAGAACAAGAGGCUAAUGUUUUUUCAUAACUGAAUAAUAUACCUAAGAGUAUUUCUGAUGAGCAAAAUAUUGUUUUAAGUCAGUAAGCUGAUCUUGAAGAAGUUAAAAAGGCACUUUUUAGCUUAAAUGAAUAUAGUGCAAGUGGCCCGGAUGGGUUAACAAGUAGGUUCUAUCAGGUUCGCUGGGAUAUUAUUGGUAAUGAUGUUCUUAAUCUGGUGCAAGAUUUCUUAAAAGGUAAUACUCUUCCCAAAUUCAUUAUUCAUACUAAUUUGGUGUUGCUUCCCAAGAAGGAUUUUAUUCAAUUUUUCUCAGAUUUGAGACCAAUUAGUCUUAAGUAAUUUUAUUAAUAAGAUCAUUUCUAGGAUUGUGCAUGACAAAAGUGAACUUCUUUUGCCUAGACUGAUUUCUUUUAAUCAAUCUAAAUUUGUCAAAGAGAGAAGAAUUAUUAAAAAUUUCCUCCUGACUCAAGAGAUAGUUACUGACAUCAGAAAAAUGGGUAAGCCGGCUAAUGUGGUCUUAAAGCUUGAUAUGACUAAGGCUUAUGAUAGGGUUUCCUGGUUUUUCCUGAUGAAGGUUCUAAGAAAAAUAGGGUUCUCAAAAUUGUUUAUGGACUUGUUUUGGAGAUUAUUGUCUAAUAAUUGGUAUUCUAUACUAAUUAAUGGGCGAUCACACGGCUUUUUUCACUCAACUAGGGGAGUAAAACAAAGAAAUCCUUUAUCUCCAGCUUUCUAUUUGAUGAUGCUCAAUAUGUAGGUUAUGAUAUGCCAAAGUGGAGUUCCAAUAUUAAUCAUCUUGCUUAUGCAGAUGACACUAUUAUAUUCGCUGCAGCUAACAGAUACUCUUUGAGAAAGAUUUUUUCAGUGUUACGGGAAUAUGAAACUCAAUCAGGGCAAAAAGUUAAUAAAGAGAAGAAUGCUUUCUACAUGCAUCAGAAUUCAGCUGCAGUUGAUAAACAAAUGGUGGAAGAUUGUGCGGCUAUUUCUAAAGGCCAAUUUCCUUUGAAAUACCUUGAAUGUCCUAUCACUCAUGCUAGAAAAAGAAAGAGUCAUUAUUCAGAGCUAAUUCAGAAGGUUAAGUCAAAAUUACAGGCUUGAAAAGGUAAUAUUCUCUCAUAUGGGGGGAAAGGAGGUCCUUAUCUCUAGUGUUCUUCAAAGUGUUCCUAUACAUAUCCUUUCUGUUGUUGUCCCUCCUAUUUGUGUAUUGAAGGAGCUUCACAGAAUAUUUGCAAAUUUUUUUGGAGUAAUAAGGCCGAUGGAAGAAACAAACACUGGGCUGCUUGGGUAAAGGUGUUUUUACCAAAACAGAAGGCAGUUUGAGUUUUAGAUCGAUGUUUGAGGUAUCUCAAGCCAUGUAUCCUAAGUUCUGGUGGAAGUUCAGAACUCAAAAUACUACUUGGUCCAACUUUAUAUGAGACAAGUAUUGCAAAAAGCAAAUACCUUCACUAGUUUAAUGGAAAGGUGGCUCGCAAGUAAGGAAGCAUAUGUUGCAAAAUAGGGAUCUAGUGGAGCAAUUCUUGUGGUGGAACCUAAAGGAGGUACUUCUACAGUUUGGUAUGAUAAUUGGACUCAACUUGGUCCUCUUUUCAAACACCAGGUAGAGGUCAUUCUUCUUUUCCAGUGAUGGAUAUUGAGGAAUUCAUGUUGGGCUCAGACUGGGAUUUUGAGAAUAUGCAAUAUCAUUUAUCAGAUAAUGUAGUAGAGCAUGUAAGAUUACAUUUGAGGCUUGUACGACAUCCUGGAGAAGGUGACAAGCCCUGGUGGAUUAAAUUUAGUUCUGGCAAGUUCUCGGUUAAAAGUGCUUGGGAAGAACGGAGGAAAAAAACGUUUGUAAUGAGUCAUUUCAGAAGAUCUGGGUAAAAGAGAUUCCUUUCAAAAUUUCUUACUUUGGUUGGAGAGUUUGGACAAAUAGGAUUCCUGUAGCCUCUGUUUUAGCUAAUUGGAAUCCUAACUUGUCUCCUCUUUAUUCAUAUUGUGUUUCAAGAAAUCAUGGAGCACCUCUUUCUAAAAGGUGAAGUGGUUUAUUUCGGUUUGGAUUUAUUACGCCAAUGCUGCAGGUAUUCUGGGGCCCUGGGUUCAAAUUAAACUAUCCAUAAAGAAGUGGUGGGAUAUAAAUGGUAAUUAAAGACAAAGAUUCAUCUUUCAGGUAGUUCCUACUCUCAUUUUGUGGUUUUUACGGAAAAGAAGGAAUGCAUUAGUUCAUGGAGGUUCAUACUCUACAGCCAAGGUUAUUUGGGAUAUUAAUGGUUUAAUUAAGAAAAUUCUCAGAAAGAAGUUUGGUUAUGAUCAGUUACCAUCUAGUUGGCCUCAAAUAGUUGCUUUUUGACUUAUUUAGACCUACAUUUUUAUCUAGAUGGAUAAGAUGGUAUCCCCCACCUAGGGGAUAGUGGAAAUAUAACACUGAUGGAACCUCGAGAGGUAAUCUAGGUCGAAUUUCAGCUGAUUUUUGUGUACGAAAUCAUGUAGGUGAUCUUGUGUAUGCUAAGGGUUUCUCUAUUCCAGAUUCCACUAAUCUGGUUGUUAAAGUCAUUGCUAUAGGAGUUGGUUUACAUUAUUGCUUAGAAAAUCAAAUUGUCAACAUUAUUGUGGAAUCUGAUUCCCUUGUAGUAGUCAACAUGAUUAAUGGAGUGUGGGAAAUUCCUUAGAGUGUGAUAAUGGAGGUCAACUCCAUUAAAGAUAUGAUGGAUUCUUGUUCAGCAAGAGUACAACACUCCUUAGGAAAGGGAAAUACUCUUGCUGAUUAUUUAGCUAACUUGGUUUUUCAUUUUGCAGGUAACUUUGAAUUCAACAGUUUUCAUGAAAUUCCAAGCGCAGGUAGGAAGAUUAUCAAUCUAGACAAACAAGGCAUUCCACAAAUGAGGAUAAGACAGUGUACAUCAACUAAUUCAACAAGGGAUGGAUCGCUACUGCAGAUUACAAAGUGAAUUUACAAACUCUAUUAGCAGUGACUAGUUACUGGUGAAUUUAGUGCAGUCUGAAUUAGUUUCGUUUGGUUAACAUACCAUGCACCUGUGGGAAUUUUUAGGUGUUACAUAGAGUAUAAACCCAGGACUCACUUAUACUAGUUGCUAAUUUCUAGGUAUAGAGUUUAUAAAAAUCAAGCACAAAUUUAGAGGCAUUUCAUAGUCUCAAAUCUGUUGAUGAGGAGAGGAUGGAGUACCCGGGACCUCAAAUUUAGCGGCGGAAGAUAGACAGGGUAUAAUUAUCAAGCAAUACAAUUCUUUUAUACAGAUUCCACUUCAGAGAAGAACAAAAAUAAUCAUUGCCAACUUAUGGAUUGCAAAGUGUCAAAAUACAAAUUUCAGCAUUUGGAGUAACACAAGAAGGCAAGGAGCAAGAUAAGUAUUAAUGGACAGUAGUGGUGAUUAACAUUCACUAAUACUGAUUGAUUUCUAAGUCAUACAAUUGAAAUGGGGGUUAAGGUGAACCUGUUAGUUCUGGAUCCUUGGUGGUGGUAUCAAUCUCCUUGAGGUUUAUUCCGCUAGGAAAAAGAGAGAACAGUGAAAUCAUUUUUUUCAUUUCACAGAUGAGUUUAGAAUAGAAAAAGGGAGGUGACUUACCAUAUCAUCUGCAAUAAAUAUUUAUUGAUUUGGAGCUGUAGAAAUUUAGUUGAAACCAAUUUCAUGAAGUUUGUAAGAGAUUAAAGUGUCUUAGUGAAAUUUGAUGGAUGUUCCAUGGCAAUAAUGGCUUCCACAACUUAAUGCAACAACCAGAUGAGGUUGGAGUAGCAAAGAUUGAAACCAUAGUUGCCUCUCCGUGAUGUCUUUCAGCUUUGAGUUUUAUCCACACAUUCCUUUUCCUGCUUACAUUUUCUGUUUUUGGUCUUUUCAGAUGUCUGGAUAUAUUUGUUGCUUUUGUUUUGGACCCGGGUCUUGCUUAACUUGGGCCAAUUUGUACAUAUCUUUUCUGCUCCUGAAUAAAUUGGGCUCUGGUCCAUCUUCAAUUAAAAAAAAGGAAAAAUGACAUGGACUGACCAGUUUAAAAAAAGGAAAUUUUGCAUAUAUACCGACAUGUUUACUCUUAAUUACCAAAAAUUUCAACAUUUUUCAAAAUCUCCAAAAAUUCCAACAUUUGACCUCUGAUAAUACAAGUUAAUCACAUUAGAUACAUACUGUUGAUAUAUGUAUCUAAUGUGAUUAACUUGUAUCAUACAUUAGAUAUAUGUAGGGUUACAUUAGAUACAUGUAGGGUUACAUUAAAUACAUGUAGGGUUAACUUGUAUCUCAAAAAUAGUCCCAAAUAUGAAAUGUUGGAAUUUAUGUAAUUUUUCAGAAGUAGGGGGAUUUUUAGAAAUUUUGAAAGUUAUGAUGUUUAUUUAUGUAAUUUUUUGUUAAAAAGAAAAAAAAUAGCCCACACUAUGAAAAUAUGGACAAUUGGAGCCAGUAGACCCAAUUUAUUUCCUGUUUUUUCAGUCAUUUGGCCCAAAACUAUUCUCCUUACACAAUUAAGGGGAUUAAAUACUCUUCACAGUAGGCUACUCUUAAAUCACUUUUCUUUUCAAACUAUACUUUCCCAAAAAAAUGUUCACCUCUAUUAUGUGUCGAUCAAUCUACUGUGUUUUGUGAUAACAAUUGAGUUAGUAGGGCACAUGCAGUCUCUAUACCCAAUUGAUACACUUUUGUACCAUAUUGAUACAUGUUUAUACCCAAUUGAUACUCUUUAUACUACAUUGAUACACUUUUAUACUCAAUUGAUACUCUUUUAUACUAGAUUGAUACACUUUUAUACCACGUCGAUACAGUAUGUAUAUUACAUAAAUACAUCUUUUACAGAGGAAAUUUGUGCAAGCAUAUACAGUAACAAUACCAAAUUAAUACAGUAAAUCAAAAUUAGUAAGUACGAACAUAAUUGAUACUCUUUAAAAUUAUAGUAUUAAUAGUACAUAAAGUAACAAAAAAAAAGAUCAAAUCAUCUUUCCAUCAAUUAUUGUUUUGAUUUAGUUCAUUCUUUCUCCUUAACGCUCUUUUAUAUUUCUAACUUCCUCUUCCUACCUUUAUUUUCUCUUCUUUUUUUCUUUCCUUCAUUACUAAGUUAGUUGUAAACACCCAUAUGAUGAAGUAUGUAUUUACUCUUGAGUUGAUGUCAUAUUUAUCCUACUAAGAAAAAUCACAGGUUCUGUAAGGAAUUGUCUAGACAUGGAGUACAUAUAAAAAUUUAUUCUGCCACUUGAAAAAAACCUGUAAAAAACUAAUUAAAUUCAGAUUUUUUGAGAUUUUAUACAAAAUUUAUGAAAUGAGAAAGGUAAAUUGGAGUAUCGAAAAAAGGUAAAGGAACAAAUAUUUAGGAGUUUGAAUGGAAAGGAAACUGGGAAUGAAAAGAAAAGAAAGAAAGGGAAAGUUACUUCAAGGAUGUUUUUGAUUUUGUUUAAGCGUAUGACAGUGAAGGUUAGUUAGUGGAAUUACUCUGUGUCUAUUUAUGAUGUAUUUAAUUUUGACUGCUAUUUUUUUAUAUUAUUUUAGUUUUAGGUGUUAUUUCUGUCAUUUGCCCAAAAAAAAAAACUUACUAUUUUACUACAAUUCUUGUUGGUAAGAAUACAUUAUUUCUUUUUUUUUUUUAGGGCAAACAACAUAAAUUUCGAGAAUUUGGAGCUUAAUUACAGAAAAUUCUGAUAUUUUGCAUAAUUGUUGAAAAUCUCAAUUUUGGAUCUGUUGAGAUACAUUAUUAGCUUCUGAUACAAUCAAAAAGAUACAUUUUUAACUUUGUAUAGAUAUAUAAUUAGCUUCCGCUACAUAUUUUUUAAAUUUUGCGUUUGUUGAGAUAUAUAAUACAUCCAAUGAAGAUAUAUUUUUUUCUUUGUAAAGAUAUAUAAUUAGCUCCCAGUGCAGUUUUUUUAUUUUUGGGUCUGUCGAGAUACAUAAUAAGCUUUCGAUACAUCCAACGAAGAUAUAUAAUUAAUUGAGCUUUUUGUAGUUAUUUUGUAAGAGUGAAAAUUUUGUAUAAAUAUAAUAAGUUAAGAUGUAUAUUUAUACUAUUUUUCCAUAAUUUGCUUGCGAACCAAAUCGACCACUAAAGAAUUGAAAAGUUAAACAAUUUGUUCCCAAUACAGAACAAACUUUAGCCUAAAAUUUAAUGCUAAAAAUUACUACAAUGAGCUGAGUGGCUGAAAUGGUGCCACUUAAGAAUAAUUUGGUGGAUGAAAUGAAUGAAUUGUUUUGGAGUACAAAUUUUGAUUUAGACAAUCUAUUGAAAUUUAUUAUAGUACUGUUUAUAUUUAGGGGCCAUUUUUCAGGAUCUAUGAAAAAUUUAUAAUGUUGAGUAGAACAUACUAUAAAAGUAAUGUUGGAUAGAGCAUAUCACACAUUAGCACAAUCCUAAUCAAUAAUGAUAGCUAUUCAUCUCUAGUUCACUUUUAUAGUUAAUCAAAGAAUUAUUAACAACGAAAAUUAAUUUUCUUGUUUUGGUUUUCUAUCAUUGAAUCAGCAAUAGUUUGAUAUAAGAACUAUUCAGAACAGACUAAAUUAAAGAGAAAGAUGGAAUACCGUCAAUGAAAAUAAUAGGAUAUGAUAUCUUCAAAGAUAAAGAAGGCAGUGAACUUUUUACACAUAUAAUACGUAUAAUUAUUAAAGAAUAUAAAAGAAAUUAAAAAAAGGACAUACAGUACAUAUAUAAACUGGAAAAGAAGAUCAAUAAUGUAAAAGUUUGAUGUUAACACUGUUCCUUAAUUAAAAUUUCCAUAAUGAUUAUACUCGCUAUUUUCUUUCAUUUGCACAAAUCAAUAUGCUCCUUUCCCCCCUUUUUUUCUCCUGAUCACUCCUUAAAGAACGAGACAUAUAGCAUACAUAGAGAAGAGAGUACUUUGUCUCCCUCAAUAAAUACCUUGAGAAAAAAAUGUAACUCAUUAGUAGUUUCUUGAUUUUGUAAAAUUUUCUUUAUUUAAAAAAGAGUAACAUUGGAAGAAGGUCAUUAGUAUCUUUUUUAUUAUCUAAAACAACAUUUAUUAUCUUUUUUAUUAUCUAAAACAACAUUUAUUAGGAGCAAAAUAAAAAAGCUAAACAACCACUUAUUAGAAACAGAGGGAGUACUAAUUAUCUGAUAGUGUUUUCAGUGUUACGCAUCAUGAACUAAAAGCUUAAUUUAAGAAGCAUUGACUGCUUAAUGAAAUCUUUUAAUUCACAAUGAUAAUAAGGAAAUCCAAUUUGUGUUGUAUCAUUCUAGCCUUUCCAUUUUUUAUGGAGACAAAGCAUUAAUAGACAAAUGGAGAUUGGACAUAUCAAGAUUUCAGUCUCAUCCUGUCAAAUCAUUAAUUGUAAAACCUUCAUGUAUUUCUAUGUUCAGCCUAAGAUAUUAAGGGGUUAAUAUUCUUUCAAAACAUGGAGAGUUUCUGAUAUUGGGAGACAUGGUUGUUUGUCGAAUAUAUUUAUUUCUCAAUAAUUGAAAUAUAUAAUUGUAUUUGAUGUGAAGAAAGUAUUAGUUAAAAUGCAGUUUGGUUCAUUUUGGCUAGGGAUUCCAUCCUUUCCAUGUAUAAAAGUUUUUGAAUGUAAGGAUGAGAAAUCAAGGUAUCUGCUACACUUUUUUUAUAUAUACGUGUAGCGCAUGUAUCGAGAAAUUAGUAAAAGAAAAAAAAAAUUCCUCAGCUAAUUCUCAAUCAACACCAACUCCAUCUUAGGAAAGUGUGGUUGGUUCUGUUCUUCCUCGAAUUCAAUGAAUUUUUGUCAUAUUGUCAUACAUAUAACGAAUAAUAUAUAUAUNNNNNNNNNNNNNNNNNNNNNNNNNNNNNNNNNNNNNNNNNNNNNNNNNNNNNNNNNNNNNNNNNNNNNNNNNNNNNNNNNNNNNNNNNNNNNNNNNNNNNNNNNNNNNNNNNNNNNNNNNNNNNNNNNNNNNNNNNNNNNNNNNNNNNNNNNNNNNNNNNNNNNNNNNNNNNNNNNNUAUGCCUCUUUUCCUCUUUAAAUUUUAAAGUAAUAAUUAAGAAGAAAAAAGAAGAAGAUACUAUUCAAUAAUUUAAUUCUGAUACCAUCAACAUGGAAGACUCCAUUUGCUUCAUCUAACAAUGGACUUUGGCAUUAUAUAAUUAACAAAACAAUUAAUUAUUAGGAUAACUUAAUCACCGACAAAGGUUUCUUACUAUUAUCCUUAUGAGAUUCCACUAGUUAAGCUAAAUAUUUUUAAUCGACGUAAGAGUUAUGAAUGUAUAAACAAGUAGAUCUUAGCUACAUUGACCUAGUCAAUCAUUAUUAUUACCGACAUAUUUAUGCUAUACAAAUAUUUGUCCUAAUGCUAUCUUUUAUUUAUUUUUUUAAUGGAAAAGGGUCAAAAAGAUUCCUGAAUUAUUCGAAGUGGAGCAAAAAUAUCCCUCAUUAGUUUUUUGUCUCAAAAGUAUCCCUCUCUAAUGAAAUAACACCAAGCAUGUCAUGUAGACAAAAUACGUCACUUGAACAGUUCACGUCAGAUCGACCAUCUUUAUUAAAGGUGAAUGCUCCAUUAAAUGAGAGAUUUUCCAUGUGGAUAUUGGCGCCUAGCGUGGACUGUUCAAGUGGCGCUUUUUGUCCACGGACAUACUUAGUAUCAUUCUGUUAGAGAGAUGAAUAGUUUUGAGCCAAAAAUUUAAUGGAGGAAUAGUUGUAAGCAAAAAAAUUAACGAAAGAUAUUUUUACUUUAUUUCAAAUAAUUUAGGAAUAUUUUUAAUCGUUUUUUGCUUUUUUAUGAUUUCUAAGUUGCUUAUAAUUUUUUUAUUACUACAUGAUUAACAAUAUUUUUUUAUUUCCAUAAAUAACAGAGAGUAAACUAAGUUGCACCUUAAUGGUCGAAAAGUAUUCACUAUUUUUUUUAGACUUAAAGAGGUGAUUCUGAUACAUGUCUUAUGAACAAUCAUUACAAAUUUUAUUAUUUUAAAUUUUGUUUUAGAUAAGUCUAUGAUUAAGUUGUUGGUGACCAAUUUAUUCAAUUGAGUGAGGCUGGCAUGUCCAAAGAUUUUAGGACGAAGAAACGGGUUAUUAUGUUAAUUAGGUAGAUUUAUUUUAGGGAGAAAUAAGACAUAUGCUUUAAUUUGUAAAUAUUAAUAAGUAUUUUUCCAUUUAAGCAUAGCUUCUUUUAAAUUUAAAUUAGUAAUCAAACAGUGUUUAGUAGUAUUUUCUACCUUGUUGGCUUUGUCACACAUUUGAGAGAUGCUAAAAAUGUGUAUUAAAAAAAAAAUAAGAUGGAAAGAGAAGCAUACUGGCUCAAAGGUAAAGCCGCUAAAACGUGCUUUAAGGUUCAAAAAUAGUAUUUUUAUUAUAUAAUUAGUCUCUCCUAUGUUUUACAGUUUAUAGUCUAUAUGCAAUAAAUCAAAUUCUAUUAUAUAAUUUUUUAUAUAAAAAUAAAAGUUUCUUUAAAGUUAUUAAAGGAUGUCCAUUUGUUGUAAUAAAAUACAUUGAUUUUGGUUCUCAGAAUCCUAUUGGUACAUAAUAAACUUUGGCUAUUUUAAUUCAAAGUUUUAAAAUAUCAAAUACAAUUCUAUAAUCUUUAACUAAAAAUUUAAAAAUAAGAUUAUUAAACUUCCGAUGAUAUGAUUGUAUAAGAAAAUAAUAAACAUUUUAAAAUGUUAUUGUAACUUUAUAUAAUACAUGUAACAGUAUUUUUCUAGUGAUUAUAAGAAGAAUUUUAUUGAAAAAUCAAACGUAAUUGUAACUUGCGGUAUUGAAAGUAAAAUUUGAUGGCGAGGAAAAUAUGAGUCCAUUCUUAUGUCAUUAAAAUUUAUAAACCUUUUUAUUAAGAUGACUUGAAAAUGGUAUUUAACUAUAUAUAAUUUAUAAUUUUUUAAUUAUCAUAAAUAAAAUAUUUCAUUUUCGUGAUAUUUUAGUUUGGAUUGCUUUCUAUCUAUCAUUAAUGACAAAAUACAUCGUCAGACCCCUUAAAUUGACACCAUUUUUCACUUUGGCAUCUUAAGUGGACAUUGUUCACCUUUGGCAGUUCAAAUAACCAUAAAGUGUAUCAUUUUGACAUCUUUCGACAUCAAUAAAAGUGUGUGUUACACUCACUGUCAACGUGGAUAAAACGGCCAACUGAUUUAUGCCAAUUCAUUUAAAUUGCCACAUCAUUAUUUAUAUUCACAAUUAGUUUUAAAAAAAAUAAAAUCAAAACAUAUGGCAAUUAAUGACAUAAUUAUCUAACUCAUUAAUAUAUAUACAAAAUUAAAUUAAAAGAAUCAAUUAAUUACUGACACGUGACAUUUUUCAAAAUAAUUAUAAAAUUAUUUAUUUUAUUUGGACAACCCUCCACCCACCUCCCACCCCCAAACUCCAAAGUCAUCUUCUCUACCACCAUCUAUCCCCCCGAUACCCCCCACCCUAAAUCAUCUUCUCUAUUUGGCAACACCCCUCUUCCCGUCAUGUUCUCCAUCUCCCUCCCCCCCCACCACCCCCAACCCCUGCCUGAGUCAUCUUAUCCUCUCCAUUUGCCCCUUUGAAAAGAUGAACACUCAAUCAAAGAUUAUAGUAUAUAUGUAUAUCAAAGACCUUGAUUAGUCAUAGCUUGACCUCAAAAAUUAGAAGGCAUUAAAUGACUGUUUUUUUUCUUAACAAAAAAUAAAAAAGAAAUGAUUGACCUUGAAAUAUAUUCAUCAGUAGUAUGUGUGAACCUAUUCUUUGGCAACGCAGUGGUCUUCUUACUACUUCAGUUGCAGUCAUAACAUGUUGACAAAGAUGGUGAUUGCUCAACAACAAAUCACUCGUUGUUGUUAGUGUGUUAGUGUGUUUCGUUAUUCUUGAAAAGUUCAACCUCCAUUAAUGGAAGUUAAGCUAAAGAAAGGUUGUGUGAAGAAGGCAAUGUGAGGAAAUUUUUUGUAAUUAUUUGGUCAAUAAAACAUGUGCCAUUAAUUUAUUGGAUCAAUUUUUACUGAUUUGGCAAUAGAGAUUUUCAAUAGUUUUAAAAAAAAUUUAAAGAUGAAAAAUUACAAAAAUAUCCCUAAAAAUUUAUGAAAAUACUCUUCAAACGCUCCAAAAAGUGAGCAACGUCCACUUGAAGUGCCAAAAUGAAAGAUAGCACCAAGUUGAGGACCGACAAUAUAUUCUUUCUUCAUUAAUUAGUGCAUGUACUACUCCUGUACUCCAUUGGUUUUGAUUUUUUCUUGUUCCUGCACAUUAUUUCUCCUUUUUUACUGUCUAUAUAGUACUAUUUUUUAACUUAGUAUGUUGAAAUUAAUUAUUUUUUAUUUGCAUAUGAAAAAGAAAUACUUAACUAGAUUGAUUCUUAUUCGUAUAUAAAAAGUUAAAAUAGUGAAAUUCAAGAAAAAUAUAUGAAUUUUAUAUUUGGCUUUAGAUGGCUAAUUAUAUUAAGCCGCCCUUGAAGGGACGGUGAAUUGUAAUAUUUUUUGUGGUUGACUAUGAGGCGAGCUAUAAUAUGAAAUCAAAUAAGUAACAUAGUAUAAUUAUGUGCUAAGUAAUGUGUCAUAUGAUAUUUUUCAAUUGAUUUGAAUUCAGUGUGAAUUAUAGUUAGUCCUUCCUUUUGGAUUUUUGUUAAACUGAAAUUUUCAUUUUUAUUACAUAGAGAGAGAAGUUAUAAAAAGGAUGAUUACAACGUGUUGUAACUUUUCAGGACGAAGAACAACAAGUCAUUGUUUUAUUAAAGAGGGAUUGUCCCUUGUCCAUAUCAGCUUUCAAGAAAAUAACAGAACAAAUGUUGAAUCUACUACUAUGAGAAAUUCAUCAUUUGUUUUGUUGGAGUUAGCCAAUGUCUGCUUUCUCCUUCCUAAUCCUAAAAUUAGCCAAACCAACUUUAUCCAACCUAUAAGUCCUUUAUAUUCAUCAUUAAGCUCUUGAAAUUGUUGUUGAGUACAAUGUUGAGGGUGUACUUAAUUUCUAAUCAUACAAUAGCGGUCUUUUUCACUCUUUGUAGUUGAUAUAUUGCCUCACCAAACACUAUUUUCCUCUCUUCGCUCUUUUUAAAUACACAAUAAAUGAAUUAGGAAGUUACAAUGCUUGUUAAGAAUAGCAUAGAGCUUUGGAGAAUGUUUGGACAGGAUGUACAGUUUCUUUUCCUAGAAGGCAUAUAUAGUCUUUGUGUGCUUGAUGUCUUGAAAAAGGAUAGAGAAAGACAAUCCAUACUACAUGAAAAAUAUUGAAUUGAGACAUAAUAUUUAUCAAUGGACAAGUCUGGCAUAGAGUUUAAACGGAUUUGUGAUAGAAUUAACUAAUUUAUAGUGUUGAUUUUAAUUUUUUCAAAAAUAAAUCAUAAAAUAGAUUGCCUAGCUUGACGUGUUAUGUGAUAUUAUGCAUAGAUUAAGUCCAUUGGAGGUUGUCUGAUUAGAGAAUCGGACAAUGCUUAGCAUGGGAAUUUCAUUGAAUAUGGAGCUAAGUGAGACUUUAAUCUCUCAUUUACUUGCUUUUUCAAAAGCAUUAUUUAAAACUGAGAAAUCGCUUCAAACUACUCCUCCACCCCAUUUUAGUUGGGCACAUUCUAUUUUAUACGGUGAUUAAGAAUCAUAAAUUGAAUGAUAAAUUUUACGAUCUUACCCUUUACUCAUAUUAAUGUUAUUCGUUGGGCAUAAGAAUGAACAUUGAAAUUGAAAUUGUUAACAUUUAAUAUAUACUAAAAAUUGUAGGGGAAAAAUAAAAAAAUAAUUAAUUUUAUCCUAAUUUAGUAAGUGGUCUUUUUUGGUGGGCUGAAACGCAUUAAAAAGAAAUAGCGGAGUAUUACAGUAGCACCUGGAUUAACCAGGAUCUACAAAAUUUGAGUUUGAGCUUAUGCCCUCUAAUGAAACAUUACAACACCUUGUUUGCCUAAUGAAACUAGUUCCUAGGAUGUCAGCCCAGGUAGCUUUGCAGCAUACAUUGGAGGAAUUACAAAAGAGUUUCUCUGUCCACAAACUUUCAGUCUUGCUCCUUCCUUAGCUAAUGCAUCCUUCACCAUAUUCUGCUCUUUAUAGCAGUGCUGGAUUUGUGGUCGUCCCAGACUCCUGAUUAGCAACCUGCAUCCAUUAAUUAUGGCAUUAUAGUGGAGGUUUCCCUCUUUGAGCAUAAUAAUAACCUUUUUCGAGUCUACAUUGAUGUCCACGGGAACUAAGGACAUUUCCUCCAUAAUUUUUAGUCCCUUUAGUUGAGCAAAGAGCUCCAUCUGGUUAUUAGUAAUCACAGGGAAAACUUUUUUGAAACCUGUAGUCCAAUUCCCUUCAUUGUCUCUAAUAACCCCUCCAAUACCACCCCUACCAGGAUUUCCCAAACAUGAGCCAUCAGUGUUAAGUUUAAAUCUUUCUUUAGAGGUUGGUUCCCACUUAACACUAAUGUUCAAUAAUCUAUUUGUCACGACCUGAAUCAAGGUCUGGCCGUGAUGGGCAUCCCUAGCCAACCAAGGUCGGAGAUGACCCCUAACCUUACCUCAAGAGCACAUCAGUAAAAACAAACAACAAAAUCCAACCAAGAUAAAAAGAGAAACAUAUGAUUCCAAAAGAAAGUUAAGAGUCAAAACCAACUCCAUAAUAAUAUCCCGACACUGCCUACAAAAGUCUCUAAUCCAAAAAUACCAACUAAGUCAAGACAUGUCCCCGACUAUAACAAAAGAAAUUCAAAAGUUCUGAAAUGAUAAAUGUAACUAAGAAAGAGGCCAAGUCUUUUGAUAGUUCAUAAGUUGGUUGAACUUGUGUUGAACUUAUUGUGGAUUAAAUACAAAUUUUGUACCCAGAAUAACAAUCUUAAGGAAUUUAUUAAUAAUUUUAAUUUUUGAGUUUCUAGAGAUUAAAACUUUUUGCUUUCUACGCUGUUUGAACUUUAUAGUGAUUUGAAGUUAUAAAAACUUCAUCACGGGUUAAUGUUCAUUCAGUUGAUGAUUAGAAGAACAUAAAAGCUUCAACAUUAAACUAGAAAUAAGUUGUUUAAAGUUUUUAAAACUUUAUUCUUAGUAUUUUGACUUACUAAAUUGGUUGUCUUUUUGUCACAGUAAAAAUGAUUAUUGAAAAUCAAGUUAAUGAUGGAAUGGUCAAUGUCACAACAACAAAUAUUGCUACUUAAAAUCGUUCAAAUGCUGCUCCGCCAAGGCACUGACAGAAAAAUCAGAAAGUUUUCUAGUGUGGAUUUUAAAAGAUGGCAGCAGAAGUUGUUCUUUUAUCUGACUACAUUAAAUCUACAAAGGUUCAUCACUGAAAGCAUUUCAGAGUUUUCGAAAGAAAUAUCCAAAAAUAUACUUUAUUACUACAAAAGCUUGAAAGCACUUGAAUUUUUUAUAUAAGAACUACAUACUGAGUGGCUACAACAUGGCAUGUACAAUGUGUACAGCAAUAUGAAGACCUCUAAGGAACUAUGGGUAGCUUUGGAAAAGAAGUACAACAUAGAGAAUGCAUGAAUGAAGAAAUUUAUUAUUGCAAGAUUUGUAGAUUUUAGGUGGUAGACAGUAAUACUGUAGUUACCCAAGUUCAAGAACCGCAAGUCAUCAUUCAUGAUCUCCUCACCAAAGGUAUAAAUUUGUUCUUGAUACUUACAUAGUCUCUGAUGUAGGCUUAAUUGUGAACGAGGCUUAUCAAGUAGCUGCUAUAAUCGAGAAGUUACCACAUUUGUGGAAAGACUUCAAAAACUACUUAAAGCACAAGCACAAGGAGAUGUCUUUCGAAGACCUUAUUGUGAGGUUAAGAAUCGAAGAGGACAAUAAAGCAUCAGAAAAGAGGUCUCGAUGGAAUUUACAAUAAGUAGAGAAAAUAUUGUGGAAGACGACCCCCAAUAAAUUAAAGAGAGAAAGGAAGCGUCAGGACAAUAAGGCAAUCCUCCUAAGAAGAAAUUCAAAGAAAAUUAUUUUAACUGUGACAAAGUUGGCCACAAGUCUUCAGAUUGUCAGGCUCCUAAGAAGGACAAGAAAAGAGGAUCAAGCUAACAUGGUUGAAUCCAAGAUGAUGUGGAGAUCUAUGUGCUAUGCUUUUGGAGUGCAUGUUGGUUGAAAAUCCUAGAGAGUAGUGGAUUAAUUCAGGUGCCACUAGCCACAAUGUGCCAACAAAAAAUUAUUUCCAUUAUAUUUUCUGGCUCAGGCUAAUGAGAACAUAUUCACGGUAACUCUGUUACGGUAAAGAUUGAAGGAAAAUGCAAGAUUUACUUGAAGAUGACAUUGGGCAAGGUGGUGACACUAAACAACGUCCUUUAUGUUUCAAAGUUGCGAAAGAACUUAGUUUCUACUUCACUUCUAACUAAAAAUAGAUUCAAAUAAGAAUUUGUUUCUGACAAAGCUGUAAUUAGUAAGCAAGAAGUGUAUGUAGGUAAAGGUUACUUCAUCGAGGAUUUUUUUAAGAUCAGUGUAAUAAAUGUUGAAAUCAAUAAAAAUUCUGUUUCUUCUUACUUACUUGAGUUAAAUGAAUUAUGGCAUGAACAUUUAGGACAUAUUAAUUACAAAACUUUGCAAAAACUGAUUAAUUUAAAAAUUUUGCCUAACUUUGAGUGUAAUAAAUCAAAUUGUCAAACAUGUGUGGAAUCUAAGUAUGCUAAGCAUCUAUAUAAGUCUGUUGAAAGGAAUUUCAAUCCCUUAGACUUAAUCCACACAAAUAUUUAUGCUAUGAAGUCAAUACCAUCUCAUGGUGAGAAAAAGUAUUUCAUAACUUUUAUUAAUGAUUGCGCUAGAUAUUGUUAUUUUUAUUUGCUAAAUGAUAAGAAUAAAGUAAUAGACGUAUUUUGGUAAUAUAAAACUAAAGUUGAAAACCAGUUGGAUAAAAAGAUCAAAAUAAUAAGAAGUAAUAGGAGUAGAGAGUAUGUAUCUUCUUUUGCAGGGGUAUGUUAGAAAAAAGGAAUUAUCCAUCAAACUAAUUUCCCGUAUUCACCUCAAUCAAAUGGGAUUGUGAAAAGAAAAAUUGAAUGUUAAAGAAAAUAAUAAUUGUCUUACUCAUAAGUUCAGAUAUACCGCAAAACUUGUGGGGGGAAGUUAUCCUUACAGCAAAUCGAAUACUCAAUAGAGUUCCCUAUAAGAAGACACACUCUAUCCUAUAUGAAAAUGAAAAGGAAGGAAACCCAACUUGAAAUAUUUCAAAGUGUGGGAUUGUCUAGCUAAAGUCCAAGUCUAUAUACCUAAAAGGAUAAAAAUAGGACCAAAGAUUGUGGAUUGUGUGUUCAUCGUAUAUGCUACAAGGAGUAAAGCAUUUCAAUAUUUGGUUCAUAAAUUCGAACCAUGAAAAUACGAUAAUCUGAAUCAGAUAAUAUUAAGUUCUUUGAAUACAUUUAUCCGUAUAAAAUUGGACAUGAGAUGUCUAGUGGAGGAUCUAAACAACCUCGAGAUGAACCAAAGGAGAAUGUACUUAAUAAUGAGAAUCAAGGUGUAGUACACGUCAAAUACCGUCAAUUUUCUUUGGAUAAGAUUUUGUAACAUUUCUUCUUGAAAAUGAGCCUUAAAAAUUGAAAGAAACGAUGUCGUCUUCAGACCCAUCCUUUUGGAAAGAGGCAAUCAAUGGUGAUAUAGAUUCAAUCUUGAGCAACCAUACUUAGGAAUUGAUUGAUCUUUCUCCGGUAAAUAAACCUUUAGGUUCUAAAUGGAUCUUCAAAAGGAAAAUAAAAGCUAGUGGUACUUUUGACAAUUAUAAGACAAGACUUGUUGUGAAAGAUUUUAGACAAAAAGAAGGCCUUUAUUAUUUCGAUACAUACUCGCCAAUAACAAGGAUAACGUUCAUUCAGAUGUUGGUUGCGUUGACGACAGUAUAUGAUGUUGAAAUUCAUCAAAUGGAUGUGAAUACAACGUUCUUAAAUAGAGAAUUGAAGGGAGAAAUUUACAUAAAACAACCUAAGGGUUUUGUAGUUUCUGGUAAAGAAAAGAAAUUGUGCAAACUUGUUAAAACACUUUAUGGAUUAAAACAAGCACCCAAAUAGUGGUAUAUAAAAUUUGACCAAACCAUGUUGGCAAACGAUUUCAGGAUAAACGAAUGUGAUAAAUGUGUUUACAUUAAAGACACUCCAAAUCACAAAGUCAUUAUUUGUUUGUAUGUGGAUGACAUGUUGACCAUCAGUAGAGACAUUCUAACAUAAAUGCUAUGAAAUAAAUGCCUGAGGGCAAGUUUGAUUUGAAAGACCUUAGAGUUGCUGACGUAAUCUUAGGGAUAAGAAUUUUUAGAACUCCAUAGGUAUUGGCGUUGUCACAGUCGCAUUACAUUGAAAAGGUGUUUGACAAGUUCAAGCAUUUAGAUUUCAAUAUUGUUGAGACUACAUUAGACAUGAGUUUUGCAUUUCAAAAGAAUGAAGGUGAAAGUAACUCACAGUUGGACUAUGCAAGAGUGUUGAAAAGUUUGGUGUAUAUAUCAUAAAUUGUACGUGAGAAGACAUAGAAUGCACUAUUAGUAAAUUAAGUCGGUAAAAGACUACUCCUAAUCAAACUCAUUGGAUGGAUAUGAAAAAAGUUUUAGGGUAUCUAAAACAUACCCAAGACUAUGUUUUUAUUAUAACAAAUAUCCAGCGUAGAUGAGGUGACUUUUCAAAAUAAUGUAAUUUUUCGUGAACCAUUACUUUCUUUCUGAAGCACCACAUUGUGGCUAUAAAUGCCUGAAUUUUUCCUCUGAUAAAGGUAUGAAGAUUUGAAGGGAAAAACAUUUUCUUUUUCUUCUUAAAACUCUGGUAUGAUCUUCAAACUAUUGAGUGAGUUCGUUGUUCAGAAAAUUUGAGGUACCACUAUUUUUUGAAGAGAAUCAUUUUUCGUAGGGAGGAUAUAUUCCUUUAACCUCGAGUACUUGACUAGAAUAAUUUUUUUAAGGAUACAUCGUGAAUUCAGUGGAUUUGACUCAAUCGUUUCUGUCUUCAUCCCAUUUUCUUAAAGUUGGUUUUAUUAUUUUUCCAGAAAAAUAGUUUGAACAUUAUAUUGAUAGUUCUUCAUUUGUUUGAACUUGUGUUUGAAGUUUUUGAAACUUCAUUUUGAUAGGUUAUAAGUUGUUGAACUUGUGUUGAAGUUAUUGUGGAUUAAAUACAGAUUUUGUACAAAAAAUAAUACGAAAUAGCUGUGAAACCUUGGGGAGCGACCAACUAAAAGAAUUUGCACCGAAGUCGAUCCGAAAUCACUUUCAAAGUAAUGGCUUACCACGACACAAUAUUUUCAGUUCCAUAUUAAUAUUAGAGUAAUUUUUCCAACAAGUGGCAAAGUUUGUUAUUUAACUACAAAAUUUGUUCGUCAACAAAUCCUUGUUUUUCUUUUGUUGGGUAGUAUAUUUUGGUUUUAUCUAAUCAAUCUAUUGACAAGCUAAGCGCCUACGAAAACGAUGUAGAUGUUCUACCUACGGGGGCGGGGGGGUGUCUAUUACAAUUACAAAAAUAAACUGAAUGUUGAGUUUCAGUUCCACUAACACCUUGCAAAAGUGAAUUACCCAUGAAAGAUGGGGGUAUUAUAUCAAAAAAAAAAAACAUAUCUUUUGUUGUUUUCUAAUUUCUAACGAUAUAUUUUUGAUCCAUUGCUUUCCCAUAGUAUGCUAACUUGACAGCCACUUUUUUUUGCUUUUCUAUAUACGUGGAACACUUUUUUUUUCGUCAAAAUGCGAAUCAUAAUUUAAUCCGUCAAUUUUUACUAAAUUGUAAUUGUCUUUUUUUUUUUAUAAACAGAGAUAGCAGGUAACCCAAGAAAAAAAAAUGUCUAGCAGAACAUAUUACGCAUCCUCGAAACUACUAUGACCUAUAAAACUAGAUGAUAAAAAAAUUGGUUUUAUCAUACUGGCACACUUGUAGAUGUUCCAUAAUUCAUGUAAAUUUACUUCAGAUGAAUUGUAGUUUUUGUGUUCAAAUUCAUAUAAAAACGAAAUGAUUUAAGUUUCGUUCUUUGAAUAUCGCCAUACAGAAAUAAAAUAGAACAAGGGGAGUACUUUUCUAGGUCUCUAUUUGAUAUUUUAUCAGUAACAAUUUGAAAAUAGUCAUAACUCAUACACGUAGUAGUAGGUGGAAAUGUUUCUGAUUGAAUUCGGCAUAAAAAUAUUUUUAUGGAAAAAAAGUUUCUUCUAGUUUUGGUUUAUAAGUGGAUCAAUUUUUGUGGAAAAAAAGUUUCUGCUAGUUUUGGUUUCUAAGUGGAUCAUUCCCUAGCGCUCUACUAAAUGAUUUAAUUUUAUAUAAAGAAGAUGAAAUUAUAAGAAAAAAGAGAAAAAAGAAAAAGACUAGAGAUCUAAAGAAGGGAAAACUUAAAGUAUGUGGUAAUAACUUCUUUUAUUCAUCACAUAAUCUCUGCAUUUUGCAAGGAGAUUGAAACUGAGCAAACAUACACAAAGACAUAAAAGUAAAAAUACAAAUAUAAAUAGAGUACAAACAAUAUCACUAAUAACUUAGAGAACAUGAAGCUACAAAAGAACUUCGCCUCCCGUGGGGCUUAUUGUUUACUCUUUUUUCUUCUUUUUGGCAUUGCCUCUCGAAAUGGAAAAUGCCUUUCCUUGAGCUCAACAUUCUGCUUUUCCUGCAUAAGAAUAUAAUAUUGUCAAUGAGAACAUAUAGUAACUGAUUAAUAAACCUAAUAAGUAGGAGAUAGCAUAGGCUUAUAUAUUAAUGCGUUUGCAUGAAGAAAUUGUGCAACUUGUAUUGAUUUGCAUUUAGACAAAUCAUUUUUAAGAAUUUUAGUUUGGCUUAAUUACCUUAGAUUUGAUGUUGUUGUUUCUUAGUGAUGGUAGGGAGGAGGUGGAGACUUGUAAACCGGAGUUGGUGGUGGUGGAGACUUGUAUACUGGUGCAGGAUGGUGUGGUGUUGGUGAAGGAUGGUAUGGAUUCACUGGUGGUGGUGACUUGUAAACGGGUGUUGGUGGUGGUGGAGAUUUGUAUACUGGUGCAGGGUGGUAUGACUUCACUGGUGGUGGUGGUGACUGGUAAACGGGUGUUGGUGGUGGUGGAGACUUAUAAACUGGUGCAGGAUGAUAUGGCUUCACUGGUGAUGGUGGUGACUUGUAAACGGGUGUUGGUGGUGGUGGAGACUUAUAAAUUGGUGUGGGAUGAUAUGGUGUUGGUGGAGGAUAGUAUGGCCUCUUAGGUGGUGGUGGUGACUUGUAAACUGGAGUUGGUGGUGGUGGCGACUUGUACACUGGAGUGUGUGGCGGGUAGUAUGGCUUUUUGGGUGGUGGUGGGGACUUGUAAACUGGAGUUGGGGGUGGUGGAGACUUGUAAACUGGGGUGUGUGGAGGGUAGUGUGGUGGUGACUUGUAAACUGGAGUCGGGGGUGGUGGAGACUUGUAAACUGGGGUGUGUGGAGGAUAAUGUGGCUUCUUUGGUGGUGGUGGGGACUUGUAAACUGGAGUGUGUGGAGGAUAGUGUGGCUUCUUCGGUGGUGGUGGUGACUUGUAAACAGGAGUUGGUGGUGGUGGCGACUUGUGAACUGGUGCGGGAUGAUAAGGUGUUGGUGAAGGGUGGUAUGGCUUCUUAGGUGGUGGUGGAGAUUUGUAAACAGGAUGAUGAUGGUGUGGUGGAGGGGACUUAUAUACUGGGUGGUGAUGGUUUGGUGGAGGAGACUUAUAUACUGGGUGGUGGGGUGGAGAUGGAUAGACAUGCACUGGUGGAGGAGGAGAUGAAUAAUGAUAAUUUGCAGAGCUUUCAGAAGCUAAGCUAAGUGACACUAAAACCACCAAAAGAGUGGCAACUAGAGAGGCCAUUUUCCCCAUAUU
Molecule: long non-coding RNA, 26576 nt
Filed under: Capsicum annuum
Lineage: Eukaryota; Viridiplantae; Streptophyta; Magnoliopsida; Solanales; Solanaceae
Description: long non-coding RNA (CANN_LNC020227)
Source: RNAcentral